AAAAAAAUACCUGAACUUUGAUCGGAUUUGCAGUUGAGCAUACUGAACUUUGUAGGGGUCCUAUUACCCUCUAAACUUUUUUAAAGUGUAUUUAAUUCCCCCCGAAAUGCAAUACCCAGUUUUGGCGGCUGGCAGUGCAAUACACGUGCUAAUUUCGUUUUGACACGUAUGUUUUUUGACAGACGGCGGUGUAAUACACGCGUCAAGCUCAUAUUUACACGUGUUCAAGUGAGCAGAUAUAUGCCAUUAAAAUAUAAAAAAAAGUCUAGGAGGGUAAUAGGACUUCGCAAAGUUCAGUAUGCUCAACUGCAAAUCCGAUCAAAGUUCAAGUAUUUUUCUGAGUAUUUUUUCUAAAUUACUUGGUUGACUAUCGAAAUUAUAUUAGUGUCAUAAAAAUUACGACUGAACAGAGGAAGACAUAAAGUACAACAACAACAACAACAACAAUAAACCCAGUGUAAUCCCACCAAAUGGAGUCUGGGGAGGGUAAAAUGUAUGCAAUACAUACCGCUACUUCUGAAGAAGUAGAGAGGCUGUUUUCGAUAGACCCCUGG
This 554-nucleotide long non-coding RNA is filed under the name Capsicum annuum. RNAcentral describes it as "long non-coding RNA (CANN_LNC014770)". The record is from RNAcentral. Lineage: Eukaryota; Viridiplantae; Streptophyta; Magnoliopsida; Solanales; Solanaceae.